Homarus americanus (American lobster) is the source of this 1354-nucleotide long non-coding RNA. RefSeq lists it as uncharacterized. The record is from RefSeq and is a predicted model, not a curated record. The transcript has 3 exons. Lineage: Eukaryota; Metazoa; Arthropoda; Malacostraca; Decapoda; Nephropidae.
CAGCACCUCCCCGAGCAGCCUUAAUAUCAGCAUCGUCUUCAGUGACUCCGUCUUCUCCCCACUGACCGGAGGAGCGGUAGUCAACAAAAGCUUGGGUGGCAACGGAGGAGCGAGGGAUCCAAGAUUCACCUUGGCCGCCCUACGCCAGCUCGGCAUUCACUUAGAGGAGGGCGAAGAUCUAGAUUCCUUCAUUGCAAACCUUACCAUUCCUCCACCACCUGAAGGAGGUGUGAACCUUCAGACGUGCGCGGAGAACCGUAAGAUGGGGAACGAGUACGACAUCUCUGCGUUUAUUAUCCCGCCGCCUCCUCCACCCUCGGACGAGAAGGACAACAGGUCGUUCGACAUUAUACGGAGCCAAAGAAGGAAUCAGUAGGGUGAUUUGUUAUGGUGUGCGAGGACAACAGCGAACUGGAGGUCGGGGAGAAGGACCACGACAUCGGCGAGGUGCACGUCAGCUCAGAGACGAUGGCCAAGCGUGCCAAUGUUGCGGGGAAGGUCGCAUCUCUGCAGAGGCGCUUCGAAGUUCCUCCCAGGACUGCCUACGGUAGUCCGCCUACCUCAAGUGCCUCCGUAGACAAUCGUCAGUUGCUACCGAGAUCAAAUAAUUCUAAUGUAGGACAUGAACUGCAUGCCAAAUUGGCACAGGCAUUAGAGGAAAAUGAUAAGAUAUUCAAAAGUUUCGACACUCAACAAAUGACGAGUGCCAAAAAUACCGGCGGAAGUUGGGAGAGCGGCGACUCCAAGCAGUCGUCGGUCACGGCCAGAGUACGAACCUUCAGCUCUGGGGGAAACUGGACCGCCUCUUCUCUUCAGCGCCAAAAGACCGUGCCAACCAGUAAGGCAGAGGGAAAAUAGGAGGACUCUCCAACUCCCCCCUCCUCCACGAACGCCCUUCACACGAACCGGCACUCUGACUAACCCAAAGAAAUCCAAGCCUUCUCCUCCCUCGUCAAAAAUCCAGAGAAGUAUAUCUAUGAGCACAGGUAACCUCUCCAAGUCUGCCUCUCAAGACGACAUGACGAGUCACGCCAGUUACAACACCAUCCUGAAGUCGAGCACCAAAGCCUCGGCCUCCAGCGAAGACGUCAGCCAAGCCAAAGCCUCCCCGGGGUCCCCCUCCAAACAAAGCGUAGCCUCCAGUAACGAUUCUCUCACGUCGUCCUCCAGUGAAUUCCUCUACUGAAGAAUUACUCUUAAAACUUUCAAUAAAUCUCUAAACAUCAUUAAUGAACUACAGCUCAGCCAGUCUUGAGGUCACCUGCCUUGUUUUAUUAUUUUUGUGAUUUUUUUUUUUUUUACAUUACUGUCCUGCUAAAUGAAUUGAAGCAGAUGAUAACUUACAGCAAUGAUG